This 253-nucleotide ribosomal RNA is filed under the name uncultured bacterium. Its description in RNAcentral is "partial 16S ribosomal RNA". It matches the Rfam family "Bacterial small subunit ribosomal RNA", at positions 524 to 776 of the family's 1533-position model. The record is from RNAcentral.
UACAGAGGUGGCAAGCGUUGUUCGGAAUUACUGGGCGUAAAGCGCACGUAGGCGGACUAUUAAGUCAGGGGUGAAAUCCCGGGGCUCAACCCCGGAACUGCCUUUGAUACUGGUAGUCUCGAGUCCGGAAGAGGUGAGCGGAAUUCCGAGUGUAGAGGUGAAAUUCGUAGAUAUUCGGAGGAACACCAGUGGCGAAGGCGGCUCACUGGUCCGGUACUGACGCUGAGGUGCGAAAGCGUGGGGAGCAAACAGG